RNAcentral lists this ribosomal RNA (403 nucleotides) under uncultured bacterium. Its description in RNAcentral is "bacterial SSU rRNA". It matches the Rfam family "Bacterial small subunit ribosomal RNA", at positions 355 to 775 of the family's 1533-position model. The record is from RNAcentral.
UAGGGAAUAUUGGUAAUCUGGGAAACCGGGAACCAGCAACGCCGCGUGUGCGAUGAAGGCCUUCGGGUUGUAAAGCACUUUUUGAGGGGAUGAAAAAGGACAGUACCCUCAGAAUAAGUCUCGGCUAACUACAUGCCAGCAGCCGCGGUAAGACGUAGGAGACGAGCGUUAUUCGGAUUUACUGGGCGUAAAGCGCGUGCAGGCGGUUUGGUAAGUUGGAUGUGAAAGCUCCCGGCUCAACUGGGAGAGGUCGUUCAAAACUGCCAGACUAGAGAAUAGGAGAGGGAGGUGGAAUUCCGGGUGUAGUGGUGAAAUGCGUAGAUAUCCGGAGGAACACCAGUGGCGAAGGCGACCUCCUGGCCUAUUUCUGACGCUCAGACGCGAAAGCUAGGGUAGCAAACGG